This 408-nucleotide ribosomal RNA is filed under the name uncultured bacterium. RNAcentral's name for it is "partial 16S ribosomal RNA". It matches the Rfam family "Bacterial small subunit ribosomal RNA", at positions 28 to 526 of the family's 1533-position model. The record is from RNAcentral.
GACGAACGCUGGCGGCGUGCCUAAUACAUGCAAGUCGACGUUAGUGGCGAACGAGUGAGGAACACGUGGGUGACCGGCGCAGAAGAAGGGGGUAAAACGUGGAAACAGGUGCUAAUACCGUAUAUGGAUGGAUGGAGCCGCGGGGGUAUAGCUAGUCGGUGAGGUAACGGCCCACCAGGGCCACGAUGCAUAGUCGACCUGCGAGGGGGAUCGGCCACAUUGGGACUGAGACACGGCCCAAACUCCUACGGGAGGCAGCAGUAGGGAAUAUUGGGCAAUGGACGAAAGUCUGACCCAGCAACGCCGCGUGUGUGAAGAAGGCUUUCGGAUCGUAAAACUCUGUUGUUAGAGAAGCGGUAUCUAACCAGAAAGCCACGGCUAACUACGUGCCAGCCGCCGCGGUAAUUC